Molecule: small nuclear RNA, 107 nt
Filed under: Jaculus jaculus (lesser Egyptian jerboa)
Lineage: Eukaryota; Metazoa; Chordata; Mammalia; Rodentia; Dipodidae
Source: RNAcentral
GUGCUCACUUUGGCAGCACAUAUACUAAAAUUGGGAAGAUACAGAGAAGAUUAGCAUGGUCCCUGCUCAAGGAUGACAUACAAAUUCAUGAAGCAUUCCAUAUUUUU